GGUGUAGCUCAGGGGUAGAGCAUCGGUUUGUGGUUCCGAGGGUCGCGGGUUCAAAUCCCGUCAUC
Molecule: transfer RNA, 65 nt
Filed under: marine eukaryotic metagenome
Rfam family: tRNA
About the family: Transfer RNA (tRNA) molecules are approximately 80 nucleotides in length. Their secondary structure includes four short double-helical elements and three loops (D, anti-codon, and T loops). Further hydrogen bonds mediate the characteristic L-shaped molecular structure. tRNAs have two regions of fundamental functional importance: the anti-codon, which is responsible for specific mRNA codon recognition, and the 3' end, to which the tRNAs corresponding amino acid is attached (by aminoacyl-tRNA synthetases). tRNAs cope with the degeneracy of the genetic code in two manners: having more than one tRNA (with a specific anti-codon) for a particular amino acid; and 'wobble' base-pairing, i.e. permitting non-standard base-pairing at the 3rd anti-codon position.
Source: RNAcentral